AGAGCGAACGCUGGCGGCAGGCCUAAUACAUGCAAGUCGAACGGACCCUUCGGGGUUAGUGGCGGACGGGUGAGUAACACGUGGGAACGUGCCCUUUGGUUCGGAACAACUCAGGGAAACUUGAGCUAAUACCGAAUGUGCCCCCAUUUUUAAACAAGAUGGGUGGGAAAGAUUUAUCGCCAUUGGAGCGGCCCGCGUCUGAUUAGCUAGUUGGUGAGGUAAAGGCUCACCAAGGCGACGAUCAGUAGCUGGUCUGAGAGGAUGAUCAGCCACACUGGGACUGAGACACGGCCCAGACUCCUACGGGAGGCAGCAGUAGGGAAUCUUGCGCAAUGGGCGAAAGCCUGACGCAGCCAUGCCGCGUGAAUGAUGAAGGUCUUAGGAUUGUAAAAUUCUUUCAGCGGGGACGAUAAUGACGGUACCCGCAGAAGAAGCCCGGCUAACUUCGUGCCAGCAGCCGC
RNAcentral lists this ribosomal RNA (461 nucleotides) under uncultured bacterium. RNAcentral describes it as "SSU rRNA". It matches the Rfam family "Bacterial small subunit ribosomal RNA", at positions 26 to 518 of the family's 1533-position model. The record is from RNAcentral.